UACGAAGGGGGCUAGCGUUGCUCGGAUUGACUGGGCGUAAAGGGUGCGUAGGCGGGUCUUUAAGUCAGGGGUGAAAUCCUGGAGCUCAACUCCAGAACUGCCUUUGAUACUGAGGAUCUUGAGUUCGGGAGAGGUGAGUGGAACUGCGAGUGUAGAGGUGAAAUUCGUAGAUAUUCGCAGGAACACCAGUGGCGAAGGCGGCUUACUGGUCCAUUACUGACGCUGAGGUGCGAAAGCGUGGGGAGCAAACAGG
RNAcentral lists this ribosomal RNA (253 nucleotides) under uncultured bacterium. Its description in RNAcentral is "partial 16S ribosomal RNA". It matches the Rfam family "Bacterial small subunit ribosomal RNA", at positions 524 to 776 of the family's 1533-position model. The record is from RNAcentral.